This 72-nucleotide transfer RNA is filed under the name Pomacea bridgesi. RNAcentral describes it as "tRNA-Ile". The record is from RNAcentral. Lineage: Eukaryota; Metazoa; Mollusca; Gastropoda; Architaenioglossa; Ampullariidae.
AGCAUUACGCCGGAUGAGCGGGAAUCAUUGAUGUUGAUUUAUAUAUAAGAUUUUUGUAUCUUUUUAAUGUUA